AGUUUGAUCCUGGCUCAGGAUGAACGCUGGCGGCGUGCCUAAUACAUGCAAGUCGAACGAAUCUCUUCGGAGAUGAGUGGCGAACGGGUGAGUAAUACAUAGGUAACCUGCCCCUGUGCGGGGGAUAACAGGAGGAAACUCCUGCUAAUACCGCAUAGCCAUGAGCACCGCAUGGAGCUCAUGCCAAAUAUCCUUUCGGGGAUAGCGCAGGGAUGGACCUAUGGCGCAUUAGCUUGUUGGCGGGGCAACGGCCCACCAAGGCAACGAUGCGUAGCCGGCCUGAGAGGGCGGACGGCCACAUUGGGACUGAGACACGGCCCAGACUCCUACGGGAGGCAGCAGUAGGGAAUUUUCGGCAAUGGGGGAAACCCUGACCGAGCAACGCCGCGUGAGCGAAGAAGGCCUUCGGGUCGUAAAGCUCUGUUGUAAAGGAAGAACGGCGCAUACAGGAAAUGGUAUGCGAGUGACGGUACUUUACCAGAAAGCCACGGCUAACUACGUGCCAGCAGCCGCGGUAAUACGUAGGUGGCGAGCGUUAUCCGGAAUCAUUGGGCGUAAAGAGGGAGCAGGCGGCCGCAAGGGUCUGUGGUGAAAGACCGAAGCUAAACUUCGGUAAGCCAUGGAAACCGGGCGGCUAGAGUGCGGAAGAGGAUCGUGGAAUUCCAUGUGUAGCGGUGAAAUGCGUAGAUAUAUGGAGGAACACCAGUGGCGAAGGCGACGGUCUGGGCCGCAACUGACGCUCAUUCCCGAAAGCGUGGGGAGCAAAUAGGAUUAGAUACCCUAGUAGUCCACGCCGUAAACGAUGGUCACUAAGUGUCGGGGGUCAAACCCCGGUGCUGCAGUCAACGCAAUAAGUGACCCGCCUGAGUAGUACGUUCGCAAGAAUGAAACUCAAAGGAAUUGACGGAA
Molecule: ribosomal RNA, 909 nt
Filed under: uncultured bacterium
Lineage: Bacteria
Description: bacterial SSU rRNA
Rfam family: Bacterial small subunit ribosomal RNA
Source: RNAcentral